RNAcentral lists this ribosomal RNA (241 nucleotides) under uncultured fungus. RNAcentral's name for it is "partial 18S ribosomal RNA". The stretch from base 76 to 241 matches the Rfam family "Eukaryotic small subunit ribosomal RNA", at positions 738 to 905 of the family's 1831-position model. The record is from RNAcentral. Lineage: Eukaryota; Fungi.
GUUUACGGGAUUGUGUGCCGACGUGCGCCAUCCAUCCUUCGAGAGAACACUUCUACCCUUCACUGGGUCGGGAGUGCUAUCUCGAUCUUUUACUUUGAAAAAAUUAGAGUGUUUAAAGCAGGCUUGCGCUAUGAAUACAUUAGCAUGGAAUAAUAAUUUAGGACUUUGGUCUUAUUUUGUUGGUUUCUAGGACUAAAGUAAUGAUUGAUAGGGACAGUUGGGGGUGCUAGUAUUCAGCGGC